Molecule: ribosomal RNA, 776 nt
Filed under: uncultured Neocallimastigales
Lineage: Eukaryota; Fungi; Neocallimastigomycota; Neocallimastigomycetes; Neocallimastigales
Description: partial large subunit ribosomal RNA
Rfam family: Eukaryotic large subunit ribosomal RNA
Source: RNAcentral
AGAGAGAGACAUGCGCGCAUAUCAAUAAGCGGAGGAAAAGAAACUAACAAGGAUUCCCUUAGUAACGGCGAGUGAAGCGGGAAGAGCUCAAAUUUGAAAUCUUCAAGGUUUUACCUUGACGAAUUGUAGUUUAAAGAAGUGUUUUCUGCUGAAGUUUUGGUAAAAGUUCUUUGGAGUAGGGACAUCAUAGAGGGUGAGAAUCCCGUAUUUGACCAUUAUUUUCAGCUUUGUGAUACACUUUCAAAGAGUCGGAUUGUUUGGGAAUGCAGUCCAAAAUGGGUGGUAAAUUUCAUCUAAAGCUAAAUAUUGGCGAGAGACCGAUAGCGAACAAGUACCGUGAGGGAAAGAUGAAAAGAACUUUGAAAAGAGAGUUAAACAGUACGUGAAAUUGUCAAAAGGGAAGCGUUUGACACCAGUGUUGUUUUCCUCGAAAAUCAAUUAAAAAUGGCUCGAUUUUGUAUUGUUGAGACCUUAAAAGCUCACUGUACAUUUUUCGUGUCUUUUUUAAUGCACUUUUCGUUUAACAAGUCAACAUCAGUUUCUUUUGUUGUAAAAGGGUCAUUGGAAGGUGGCUUUCUUUUCGGAGAAAGUGUUUAUAGCCUUUGGCCUCUGCAAUCGAAGAGACUGAGGUCUGCAGCGUAGACUCUUCGGGGUUAGAUACAUUUGUGCUAAGUUAUAGCUUUUUAUAGACAACUUGUUGACUAUAAUUAGUCUUGUAGCUUACUCGCUUAUGCUACUUUACCUACGCUUAGGAUGUUGAGUCGUAGAGCACGCAG